CGGACGGGUGAGUAACGCGUGAGAAUCUAGCUUCAGGUCUGGGACAACCACUGGAAACGGUGGCUAAUACCGGAUGUGCCGGAAGGUGAAAGGCUUGCUGCCUGAAGAUGAGCUCGCGUCCGAUUAGCUAGUAGGUGGGGUAAGAGCCUACCUAGGCGACGAUCGGUAGCUGGUCUGAGAGGAUGACCAGCCACACUGGGACUGAGACACGGCCCAGACUCCUACGGGAGGCAGCAGUGGGGAAUUUUCCGCAAUGGGCGAAAGCCUGACGGAGCAAUACCGCGUGAGGGAGGAAGGCUCUUGGGUUGUAAACCUCUUUUCUCAGGGAAGAACACAAUGACGGUACCUGAGGAAUCAGCAUCGGCUAACUCCGUGCCAGCAGCCGCGGUAAUACGGAGGAUGCAAGCGUUAUCCGGAAUGAUUGGGCGUAAAGCGUCCGCAGGUGGCUGUGUAAGUCUGCUGUCAAAGAGCAAAGCUCAACUUUGUAAAGGCAGUGGAAACUACACGGCUAGGGGGCGUUCGGGGCAGAGGGAAUUCCUGGUGUAGCGGU
This 550-nucleotide ribosomal RNA is filed under the name Nostoc sp. LCRSM-31A. RNAcentral describes it as "bacterial SSU rRNA". It matches the Rfam family "Bacterial small subunit ribosomal RNA", at positions 99 to 682 of the family's 1533-position model. The record is from RNAcentral. Lineage: Bacteria; Bacillati; Cyanobacteriota; Cyanophyceae; Nostocales; Nostocaceae.